This 501-nucleotide ribosomal RNA is filed under the name uncultured bacterium. Its description in RNAcentral is "bacterial SSU rRNA". It matches the Rfam family "Bacterial small subunit ribosomal RNA", at positions 32 to 508 of the family's 1533-position model. The record is from RNAcentral.
AAUCAACGCUGGCGGCGUGCCUCAGACAUGCAAGUCGAACGCGAAAGUUCCCUUCGGGGGGCAAGUAGAGUGGCGCACGGGUGAGUAACACGUAGGUAAUCUACCUUUGGAUUGGGAAUAACAACCGGAAACGGUUGCUAAUACCGAAUAAUGCAGCGGCACCUAAUGGUGACAGUUGUUAAAGCGGGGGAUCGCAAGACCUCGCGUCUGAAGAGGAGCCUGCGGCAGAUUAGCUAGUUGGUAAGGUAACGGCUUACCAAGGCGAUGAUCUGUAGCCGGCCUGAGAGGGCGGUCGGCCACACUGACACUGACAUACGGGUCAGACUCCUACGGGAGGCAGCAGUCGGGAAUUUUGGGCAAUGGGCGAAAGCCUGACCCAGCAACGCCGCGUGAAGGAUGAAAUCCCUCGGGAUGUAAACUUCGCAAGAACGGGAAGAAUAAGUAAGAGUUAAUAUCUCUUACGAUGACGGUACUGUUUGUAAGCUCCGGCUAACUCCGUGC